This 776-nucleotide ribosomal RNA is filed under the name uncultured Neocallimastigales. RNAcentral's name for it is "partial large subunit ribosomal RNA". It matches the Rfam family "Eukaryotic large subunit ribosomal RNA", at positions 19 to 646 of the family's 3401-position model. The record is from RNAcentral. Lineage: Eukaryota; Fungi; Neocallimastigomycota; Neocallimastigomycetes; Neocallimastigales.
CGAGCACGCGCGUGUGGCAUAUCAAUAAGCGGAGGAAAAGAAACUAACAAGGAUUCCCUUAGUAACGGCGAGUGAAGCGGGAAGAGCUCAAAUUUGAAAUCUUCAAGGUUCUACCUUGACGAAUUGUAGUUUAUAGAAGUGUUUUCUGUUAGUGGAGUGGCAAAAGUUCUUUGGAAUAGGACAUCAUAGAGGGUGAGAAUCCCGUAUUUGGUCAUUCCUCCUAGCGUUGUGAUACACUUUCAACGAGUCGGAUUGUUUGGGAAUGCAGUCCAAAAUGGGUGGUAAAUUUCAUCUAAAGCUAAAUAUUGGCGAGAGACCGAUAGCGAACAAGUACCGUGAGGGAAAGAUGAAAAGAACUUUGAAAAGAGAGUUAAACAGUACGUGAAAUUGUCAAAAGGGAAGCGUUUGACACCAGUGUUGUUUUUCCGAAAAUCAAUUACGAAUGUUUUGUUUUUAAGGAGUUAUGACUUCAUCGGCUUGCUUCUUUCUUUACGAAACUUUCUUAAUGCACUUUUCGGUUAACAAGUCAACAUCAAUUUCUUUUGUUGUAAAAGGGUAUGAGGAAGGUGGCUUUCUUUUCGGAGAAAGUGUUUAUAGCCUUGUAGCCUCUGCAAUCGGAGAGAUUGAGGUCUGCAGCGUAGAUCCUUCGGGGUUAGAUACAGUUUGUGCUAAGUUAUAGCUUUUCAUAGACAACUUGUUGACUAUGUUUAGUCUUGUAGCUUACUCGCUGAUGCUAUUUUACCUACGCUUAGGAUGUUGAUGUGAUACUGCGAGCA